This 2344-nucleotide long non-coding RNA is filed under the name Homo sapiens (human). RNAcentral describes it as "HSALNT0228530". The record is from RNAcentral. Lineage: Eukaryota; Metazoa; Chordata; Mammalia; Primates; Hominidae.
CCCGACCUCAGGUGAUCCACCUGCCUAGGCCUACCCAAAGUAUUGGGGUUACAGGCAUGAACCACCACACCUGGCUAAAGGUAGGGACUUUGAAGGCAAGACUCAAGUUUGAAUCCUGGCCAGGUGACUUCUGGCUGUGUGAAUUUGGGCACUGUUUUCUAUUAUCCUCUCUGAGCUUACACUUGUCCUCUGCAAAUGGAGUUGUUGUGAGGAUUAAGUGCCAUAAUUAAUGUAUGUAAAGUGCCGCUCAGUGUGCUUGGCACAUAGCCUGCACCCAUUGGGUGUUGCUGCUGUUUUUAUGGGAGCUGGUUGGGCAGUGGUAUUGUUUAUAAACAUGUAUGAUGUGCUUUUGAAAGCUCCUUCAAAACUCAAUGAUUAAUUGUUAAUGGACUGAGCCCGGGGCUUCUCUUUUUGAGGUAUCGUUUACGUGGAAAUUCUGUUUGUUGCUUUUGCCCAUAUAAACCCACUUGAUUAAGAAUUGAUGAAAGGAAGUCAUAAUUCAAGUAAAUAAAGGAUGCUCCAUGAGGAACUUGAGAACUUCUUAAGGGGCGAGAUAAGAGAAAGGGGAAAAGAAGACCUGAAAAACAAACAACAACAACAACAAAACAAAACAAAAACCAAAAGCAAUCAAACAAAAAACAAAAAACACCCCAAAAAACCGCAGGGAGGGAAAGAAAGGGAGAAAAGGGAAGAGGGAGGUGGUAACACUUUAACUUUCCCCCCAAACGGUAGACCAGUGAAGCUCAGAUUCUUGCCAAUCUGCCAAUCAGAUGCAUUGCUCCACCUCCCAGGGGAGGAAGAAAAAGCUUUUUCACCUAUCAAUGGCACUAGGCAGUAUUUUAUGAGCCAGCCUGGCUUCUGGGUGAGGGAGACUCUGGUUUCGCCUUUCGUUAGGGAAUGAUCAUCAUAAUAAUACCAAAUAUUUAUGGAGUUUUUACUUGUGCCAACUCCUUUAAAGGAAUUAUCUAGUUUAGUUAUCGAGAGUCAAAUGUAUUUGUAUAUUUCUGGUUAUCACAGCAACCCUUUGGGAGGGAGAAUAAAAUUAGCUGCAGUUUACAAAUGAGCAUGGUGGUACCAUGUCACCUUUUCGACAAUCCAAGGCCACACAGCUAGUAAAUGUCAUGCUGACAUUCAAAUUCAAGUCUAUCUGCUCUCAAAUUCUGUGUUUUUUAUAUACUAGUUUUCUCUAAAGGUGGUCCAUGGACUUCCUGAUCAAGAAUCAUCUGGGAUGUGUUUUAAAAAAUGCAGAUUUCCAGCAUGGCUGACUCUCACACCCAAAUGCUGACAGGAGGUCUCAGGAGGGGCACAGCGAUGUGUACUUUAAAUAAGGACCCUGGCUGUGUGAAUCAAACACACACCAAAGUUCGUGAGUGAUUGCACUGGAAGGAUAGGUGUCCAAAUCAGCUUUUACUAAUAUAUCUAUGGGACAAGUAAACGGACAUUUAUUUGCAAACAGAAUUUUUAUUUACUGAUUUUUGCUAAUGUAUUGAAUCUGACAAGUUUUUUGGGAGCCAGGCAAGCCAGGCCUCAGGUAAGCUGGGUCUCAGGUAUCUGAACUCCUGCAAAGAUCUGGAUGUCACCUCUGGUACAACUUUUCUCACAAUUUUCAAUCUAGAGACUUUGACUUUUUGCCCAGUGAUGACUCCUACACCAAGAGAAGCCAAGACCAGGGGAAACUGCCUUCUGAAAAAGCUGAUCCUCCUUUUUGCUUUUCAGGACAUGGUCAUUUACAUAGAUUAGCAUGACCACUUACAUACAUUUGCAUAUAUCUGCAUAGAUUUGCAUGCAUAGGGUAUGUGCAUGGCUUUCUCUUAUCCAUUUGGCUCCAUUCUUGAGUAAGCUCUGUAUAUUGCAACUUCCCAUCCUCUCAUCCUCUGAUUGGACCUUCUUGAACUUUGAUUUCAAAGUUUUAUUUUAUUUUAAAUUUUCCACAUGGUGGGCAGUUGGCUUUGGGAACCUGACCUGGUUGCUCGGACAGGUGGAGUUUCCUUUACUGGCCGGUGGGAGGCAGUGAAGAGUAGUAGCUAACAGCACAGACUGCAGUUAGAUCUGGUUUAUGCACUUACUAGCUGUUUAACAUUGAAUAAGUCACUUAACGGCCCCAGGGCUUUGUUUCCUCAACUCUUAAUGGGAAUAAUAGUACCUACCUAAUAGUGUUGUUUGAGAAUUAAGUGUCUAUAAAGCAGUUAGCAUACUGCCUGGCAUGGCCCCGAAAAUGGUACAAUUAAUAUGGUAAUUUUCUUGUGAGGAUGAUGUUGAUGAUGAUGAAGAUAAUGAUGCAGUACUCAUCAUAAUGCCUUCUAAAUUGUGACUCUCUUAAUCCCAGAAGAUAAGCACUCAGUGG